Molecule: long non-coding RNA, 760 nt
Organism: Ctenopharyngodon idella (grass carp)
Lineage: Eukaryota; Metazoa; Chordata; Actinopteri; Cypriniformes; Xenocyprididae
Exons: 3
Source: RefSeq, a predicted model, not a curated record
AAGUCGUAGCAGCCGUUACGAAAUUUUCAAACAACGGAGAGCGGGAAGGAGAGUGCCCGCUUGCAGCGCCACCACAACCAUGACUUCGGCUUCUUUAUCGUCAGAAGAACUUCAUAAGCGAGAGGCUCGACUCGAAUUAUCAGACGAAGAGAGGAGGAAAUUCAAAGAUCACGAAGAUGAUGGGGAAACUGUCAGUGCUGGUCUCACGGAUAGCACAGCUUUUUUGAGAAGUUAAAUUGAUGCAAACUUAUCCAACAAGUCUGCAUCUUCAGCUGCGAGGCAAAACCAGCCACACCAUAUCCCACUGAAGAUUUUGGGAAUGUCUGACUGGACACAGGUCUUCAGUGAGAAGAAAAUCUUGGGAUGGAAAAUGGAACUGAAUUUUGCUGAGCAGCUGAGGUGGAGGAUGGUGUUCUUUGAAAAUGUUAAUGUUAAAUAAAUGCAGGGAUGUUAUGUCAAAAGUGGGGUGUGGGGGGUGGGAGUGGAAGGUUGUCUAGUUUUUUUAAGUACUGUAUCAUUUUAAUGUAAUUGUAUUUUAUGUACUGUAACAUUUUAGUGUAAUUGUAUUGUGAAAUUGCAGCAACUUGAGCUUUUUUUAAAGUAAUACUCUGAUCAUUUUUGAAGUCUUUAUUGUAAACUGGAAAGAUGUAUUUACACAAAGAAAUAUUUUACUGUAAACUGGAACAGUGUUUGUUCAACCACUUAUGUGUAUUUGAUAUGUAUUUACAGUUUUCUGAUAUUAAAGUGCCUUUUGAAUUCA